This 742-nucleotide long non-coding RNA is filed under the name Manihot esculenta (cassava). Its description in RNAcentral is "long non-coding RNA (MESC_LNC002005)". Lineage: Eukaryota; Viridiplantae; Streptophyta; Magnoliopsida; Malpighiales; Euphorbiaceae. The record is from RNAcentral.
UUUAAUUAAAUUUAAAUUAACUUACACAAUAUUCUAUAUAUUAUUCUCUUUAUCACAUAAAUAAUUUGAUUAAUUGAAAUGAAAUUUUUUAAUUUUUAGAAUAAAAAAUUUUAAUAUUAAAUAUUUAUUUUUAAUAAUUAAACUUAAUAUAAAAAUAUAAAAUAAAUUUAAUAUUAAAAAAUAUAAUAAAAUUUAUCGGUAUUUUUUUAAUAAUAAUAAAAAAAGAAAUUUUUUUGAAUUUAAUUGAGAAUUCAAAUGAAUAUAUAAGUGUUAAAUAAGAGGGAUUUAUUUAAUAUUUAUAUUGAAAUGGUUUUAUGCGGACGUGGCCGACUCAUUCCACGUGAUAAGUGAUGAAAAAGUUAUACAGAUCUGUUUUCUGUAUUCUUAAAAAAAAAAAAAACACAGCUCCCGAGAUCGAGCUAAGCAGCGUGGGCUGUGGAUAAAGUUUCGUUGACUCAAGGCUGAAGUCGCUUUUUUCCCGCCCUUUUUUUGUCGAAGACUGAAGGCUGAAGCUACUGAUCAGAAUUCAUGGGUAUUACCUGGAAUUUUCCAACCAAGCAGUCGGGCAACGUCUGGUCGUUUGACAUGUCAAAAACUGAUUGGUUUUGCUUUUUAACUUUUGUUGUGAUUAUUUGACGUUUAGAUUUUUCUAUUAUAGAUUUUCUCAAUGAAAAUAAAAUCUUUUUCAGAAUUUUAAGGUUUAAUUAAAAUUACACUAAAAAGUUGAUAAAUAUGAAGAUUU